Molecule: ribosomal RNA, 229 nt
Filed under: uncultured bacterium
Lineage: Bacteria
Description: partial 16S ribosomal RNA
Rfam family: Bacterial small subunit ribosomal RNA
Source: RNAcentral
UACGUAGGCGGAAAAUUAAGUCAGUAGUGAAAUCCUGCAGCUUAACUGUAGAACUGUUAUUGAUACUGGUUUUCUUGAAUAUAGUUGAGGUAGGCGGAAUGUGUAAUGUAGCGGUGAAAUGCUUAGACAUUACACAGAACACCGAUUGCGAAGGCAGCUUACUAAGCUAUGAUUGACGCUGAGGUACGAAAGCGUGGGGAGCGAACAGGAUUAGAUACCCUGGUAGUCC